Molecule: ribosomal RNA, 811 nt
Filed under: uncultured archaeon
Lineage: Archaea
Description: bacterial SSU rRNA
Rfam family: Archaeal small subunit ribosomal RNA
Source: RNAcentral
CCGGCCCGUAAAGUCACCGUUUAAAGACCCGAGUUCAAUUCGGGGAGUGGCGGUGAUACUUACGGGCUAGGGGCGGGAAAGGUUGGAGGUACUCCCGGAGUAGGGGCGAAAUCCUCAGAUCCCGGGAGGACCACCAGUGGCGAAAGCGUCCGGCUAGAACGCGCCCGACGGUGAGGGGCGAAAGCCGGGGUAGCAAAAGGGAUUAGAUACCCCUGUAGUCCCGGCUGUAAACGAUGCAGGCUAGGUGUCGCGUGGGCUUUGAGCCCACGCGGUGCCGCAGGAAAACUGGUAAGCCCGCCGCCUGGGGAGUACGGCCGCAAGGCUGAAACUUAAAGGAAUUGGCGGGGGAGCACCACAAGGGGUGGAACCUGCGGCUCAAUUGGAGUCAACGCCUGGAAUCUCACCGGGGGAGACCGCAGGAUGACGGCCAGGCUAACGACCUUGCCAGACUCGCGGAGAGGAGGUGCAUGGCCGUCGCCAGCUCGUGUUGUGAAAUGUCCGGUUAAGUCCGGCAACGAGCGAGACCCCCACUUCUAGUUGGUAGCCGUCCCUCCGGGGAUGGCCCACACUAGAAGGACUGCCGGUGUUAAACCGGAGGAAGGAGGGGGCCACGGCAGGUCAGCAUGCCCCGAAACCUCCGGGCCGCACGCGGGUUACAAUGGCAGGGACAGCGGGAUCCUACCCCGAAAGGGGAAGGCAAUCCCACAAACCCUGCCUCAGUUGGGAUCGAGGGCUGAAACUCGCCCUCGUGAACGAGGAAUCCCUAGUAACCGCGGGUCAACAACCCGCGGUGAAUACGUCCCUGCUCCUU